Molecule: ribosomal RNA, 479 nt
Filed under: uncultured bacterium
Lineage: Bacteria
Description: partial 16S ribosomal RNA
Rfam family: Bacterial small subunit ribosomal RNA
Source: RNAcentral
GAUGAACGCUCGCGGGAGGCCUAACACAUGCAAGCCGAGCGGUAUGGAUAGCUUGCUAUCCAGAGAGCGGCGUACGGGUGCGUAACACGUGUGCAACCUACCUUUAUCUGGGGGAUAGCCUUUCGAAAGGAAGAUUAAUACCCCAUAAUAUAAUGAUUGGCAUCAAUUAUUAUUGAAAACUCCGGUGGAUAGAGAUGGGCACGCGCAAGAUUAGAUAGUUGGUGAGGUAACGGCUCACCAAGUCAAUGAUCUUUAGGGGUCCUGAGAGGGAGAUCCCCCACACUGGUACUGAGACACGGACCAGACUCCUACGGGAGGCAGCAGUGAGGAAUAUUGGACAAUGGGUGAGAGCCUGAUCCAGCCAUCCCGCGUGAAGGAUGACGGUCCUAUGGAUUGUAAACUUCUUUUGUACAGGGAUAAACCUACCCUCGGGAGGGUAGCUGAAGGUACUGUACGAAUAAGCACCGGCUAACUCCGUG